Molecule: ribosomal RNA, 254 nt
Filed under: uncultured bacterium
Lineage: Bacteria
Description: partial 16S ribosomal RNA
Rfam family: Bacterial small subunit ribosomal RNA
Source: RNAcentral
GACGUAGGGCGCGAGCGUUGUCCGGAUUUAUUGGGCGUAAAGAGCCCGUAGGCGGUUUGGUAAGUUGGAUGUGAAAUCUCCAGGCUCAACUUGGAGGGGUCAUUCGAUACUGCCAUGACUAGAGUUCGGUAGGGGAGUGUGGAAUUCCUGGUGGAGCGGUGAAAUGCGCAGAUAUCAGGAGGAACACCCGUAGCGAAGGCGGCACUCUGGGCCGGAACUGACGCUGAGGAGCGAAAGCGUGGGGAGCGAACAGG